Molecule: long non-coding RNA, 1693 nt
Organism: Amblyraja radiata (thorny skate)
Lineage: Eukaryota; Metazoa; Chordata; Chondrichthyes; Rajiformes; Rajidae
Exons: 2
Source: RefSeq, a predicted model, not a curated record
UUUUGUUUUCCGUUUCAUGUUUGACAGCCAAUGUUUUGUUCUAAAGACCUGCUUAGAGUUGGAAAACCAUUUAGUGUAGAGUGUCCCAGUAAAGCUGGGGUAUUCGUAUGAUGACCGACAACCUUGGCAAUGCAACCUAGGAGCCCAGGCAACCUACUUUCUUUUCACUCUGGUAUGUUCAUAUGGUUUAAAUUUGGUGACCUGGGAGGCUUGGAAUGGGCUAUUUGUUGAUUAAACCAUCCUUGAAACUAUCUGCAUCUGUUAAACCCUGCAAAUUAACCGGAAUACCCAUGUAGGCUUUGGACUCCAAGGAUUUGUAUGUGCAUCAUGAAAUAAGAUUUGGACACUGCUGGUAUCAAGCAGCUUCAUAUGUAAAAGGAUGAAGAUCAUUGGCACAAGCAGCUUCUUGUGGAAAUUUACAUGUCCUUAUUCUGCGACCGAAUGCACUGCGUAGCAAGUGCAGUCUUUCUGCCUUCCCUUGGAAUUCUCAAAGUGCGCCACCACACUCUCUGUACCACCCAGCAGGCUUUGAUUACUUGCAAAACCGUGAUACCACAGGAGUCCUCUAGUGUCUCACCAGAACAGCCAUUCAUUUUGAGAUGAGCUCGGCCAGCCACCUGUUUGAAGGCCAUGGUGACUAAGUAUAAUCCCAUCCUUGUCCAAUAUCCACAUCCAACAUUUUACUGUGUGAAUCACUUGACUGGAAAUCCUGAUAAUUUUCUCCCCUCUAGGAUUCUUACAAUUCUCAAUUGUAAAAACACAUGAAAAAAGCCGGUUAAUAUUUCAAAACUAUUCACCUCAAGGCGGGACUAAUUACUUGGAGAAAAUCAAAAAUCAUGGAUAAUAAUGGAUCGAAGAGAAAAAGCCAAACAAUCCUUUUCAACCAUGCUGACUGAUCCCCUUUUGGGUUGUUAUUUCUCCCCCUUAUUUCCAGAAUUUAUUUAAUUCUGUUAAUUGAUAUUCCUGGACCGAUGCUUCAGACCUCAUGGAGAGAACAAGGAUAUGAGGCCCAUUCGUUUUGAGAAUGUUGAAAUAAAGCACAUUCUUUCUGGAUUGAUAUUUCGAUAAUGCUGGACACAGAAUUUCCUUCUCCAUAUUGAUUUAAUAUUUUACUGGCCUGUAACCAAUACGUCCUGAACUUAGCCCAUUGUGUACUUGGGUCUCUUUCUCUUGUGGAAUGAGCUGAAAGCUUUAAAAAGAUACGAUCAUGGAAUUGAAUCGCAAGUUCUGGGUGGGAAACUGAGAGCAGCUGAAAUCAGAUCAGGCAUCUUCACUACCCUGGAACACAAUGCAAAAUUCAGGUACUUGGACAGCUAUUAAUUCUACAUUCAACAGGCCUCAGAACUUGCCCUACAUAUUUCAAAUAUACUUUUUGUGGGUGAAGAUAUGGAUAUUUCAUCAAACCCCGUCCUUAACUAGCUCUUAAAAUGUGGUUAGAUUUGUUGCUUCAGCGUUCACUACCAACCUGACGUGCAAAUGACAGCACAUUAAUGCUGGUUUAUGACGUAGUCGGAUGCCAGGAGAAUUUAUGAAUAACUAAAUGUACUUAUUCUUUUUUUUUCCUGUAAAAAUCAUGUUCUGGAAGUGGUUUAUUUGUGUAUUCGCUUGUUUCUCUUUUGUUAUUUCUCCAUUUUUGCAGUGUUCUGAGGUAAACACCAUUGAUGCUUGCACAUUCUUUACAUCUCAAUCCACU